CGUCGCUCCUACCGAUUGAAU
Molecule: non-coding RNA, 21 nt
Filed under: Arabidopsis thaliana (thale cress)
Lineage: Eukaryota; Viridiplantae; Streptophyta; Magnoliopsida; Brassicales; Brassicaceae
Source: RNAcentral